RNAcentral lists this ribosomal RNA (305 nucleotides) under uncultured bacterium. RNAcentral's name for it is "bacterial SSU rRNA". It matches the Rfam family "Bacterial small subunit ribosomal RNA", at positions 333 to 636 of the family's 1533-position model. The record is from RNAcentral.
CCAGGCCUACGGGACGCAGCAGUGAGGAAUAUUGGUCAAUGGCCGAAGGGCUGAACCAGCCAAGUCGCGUGAGGGAUGACGGCCCUACGGGUUGUAAACCUCUUUUGCCGGGGAGCAAAGAGCGGGACGCGUCCCGCCUCGAGAGUACCCGGAGAAAAAGCAUCGGCUAACUCCGUGCCAGCAGUCGCGGUAAUACGGAGGAUGCGAGCGUUAUCCGGAUUUAUUGGGUUUAAAGGGUGCGCAGGCGGAAGCGCAAGUCAGCGGUAAAAUUGAGAGGCUCAACCUCUUCCCGCCGUUGAAACUGC